AGUGAACGCUGGCGGUAGGCCUAACACAUGCAAGUCGAACGGCAGCACAGUAAGAGCUUGCUCUUACGGGUGGCGCGUGGCGGACGGGUGAGGAAUACAUCGGAAUCUACUUUUUCGUGGGGGAUAACGUAGGGAAACUUACGCUAAUACCGCAUACGACCUACGGGUGAAAGCAGGGGAUCUUCGGACCUUGCGCGAUUGAGUGAGCCGAUGUCGGAUUAGCUAGUUGGCGGGGUAAAGGCCCACCAAGGCGACGAUCCGUAGCUGGUCUGAGAGGAUGAUCAGCCACACUGGAACUGAGACACGGUCCAGACUCCUACGGGAGGCAGCAGUGGGGAAUAUUGGACAAUGGGCGCAAGCCUGAUCCAGCCAUACCGCGUGGGUGAAGAAGGCCUUCGGGUUGUAAAGCCCUUUUGUUGGGAAAGAAAAGCAGCAGGUUAAUACCCCGCUGUUCUGACGGUACCCAAAGAAUAAGCACCGGCUAACUUCGUG
This 492-nucleotide ribosomal RNA is filed under the name uncultured bacterium. Its description in RNAcentral is "partial 16S ribosomal RNA". It matches the Rfam family "Bacterial small subunit ribosomal RNA", at positions 29 to 507 of the family's 1533-position model. The record is from RNAcentral.